UACGUAGGGUGCAAGCGUUGUCCGGAAUUAUUGGGCGUAAAGAGCUCGUAGGCGGUCUGUCGCGUCUGCUGUGAAAACUCGGGGCUUAACCCCGGGCCUGCAGUGGGUACGGGCAGACUAGAGUGCGGUAGGGGAGACUGGAAUUCCUGGUGUAGCGGUGAAAUGCGCAGAUAUCAGGAGGAACACCGGUGGCGAAGGCGGGUCUCUGGGCAUUACCUGACGCUGAGGAGCGAAAGUGUGGGGAGCGAACAGG
This 253-nucleotide ribosomal RNA is filed under the name uncultured bacterium. Its description in RNAcentral is "partial 16S ribosomal RNA". It matches the Rfam family "Bacterial small subunit ribosomal RNA", at positions 524 to 776 of the family's 1533-position model. The record is from RNAcentral.